CUUGUACUCCCUCCGUCCGAAAAAACUUGUCCCUCAAAUGCAUGUAUCUAGCACAAAGUUAGUGCUAGAUACAUCCAUUUGAGAAACAAGCUUGGGACAAGUUUUUCCGGACGGAGGGAGUAUCAA
Molecule: non-coding RNA, 126 nt
Organism: Triticum aestivum (bread wheat)
Lineage: Eukaryota; Viridiplantae; Streptophyta; Magnoliopsida; Poales; Poaceae
Source: Rfam